This 489-nucleotide ribosomal RNA is filed under the name uncultured bacterium. RNAcentral's name for it is "bacterial SSU rRNA". It matches the Rfam family "Bacterial small subunit ribosomal RNA", at positions 28 to 517 of the family's 1533-position model. The record is from RNAcentral.
GACGAACGCUGGCGGCGUGCUUAACACAUGCAAGUCGAACGAGAAUCUGCGGAAAGAGGAUUCGUCCAAUUGAAGCAGAGGACAGUGGCGGACGGGUGAGUAACGCGUGAGGAACCUGCCUUUCAGAGGGGGACAACAGUUGGAAACGACUGCUAAUACCGCAUAACAUAUAGAUGUCGCAUGGCAUUUAUAUCAAAGAUUUAUCGCUGAAAGAUGGCCUCGCGUCUGAUUAGCUAGUUGGUGAGGUAACGGCCCACCAAGGCGACGAUCAGUAGCCGGACUGAGAGGUUGAACGGCCACAUUGGGACUGAGAUACGGCCCAGACUCCUACGGGAGGCAGCAGUGGGGAAUAUUGGGCAAUGGGCGCAAGCCUGACCCAGCAACGCCGCGUGAAGGAAGAAGGCUUCGGGUUGUAAACUUCUUUUGUCAGGGACGAGUAGAAGACGGUACCUGACGAAUAAGCCACGGCUAACUACGUGCCAGCAGCCG